UCAAAUCUAUUAAAUUAGUGACCAGGGCAGCCAUAUAUGAUCUUAAACAAUCAACAACAACAUAAUUAUUUAGAAUCCGGUUGAGACCCGUAACAUUAGGCUGAAAUCACAAUAAUUGGAGAUGAACAAGGUAGGAGUAGAAUGUUUUACUCCCAAUCAUUUAACUUCUCCAACUCAAAUUAAUGUUAGGAAAUAAGCACCGACCACUUUCUUCUCUUCUUCUUGAUCAAUAGUGAUUCGGAGGCCUACAUGCUCUGUAAUUAUGUAAAAUUACUGACACCCGACAUCCCAUUUCCGCAUGGAAAAUGACUAGUACUUGCACGCCUAAUUAAUCUUUCAUUCAUGGUCCUUCCUUCCACUCGGGCUUAUGAUUGUGGUUUGAUUCCACAUCUAAGUAAGUGGGCGGACCUUUCGCGCGCACGUCAAUGCACAUUGCAAAUUCCAAAAAAACAAAAUGUCAAAGAGUUUGUUUUUGACAUUCAUGCUCAUGCAUAGGCAUAGCUGUAGGAAAUAAUUUUGGGUUUUAUUUUUGCUUAUAGAUUAGACUAGAUUGAAAUGAAAAAGGAUGGAUACGUUUUGACUACUUCAAUUACGUGGCUGCUGAGUCUUCUUGGGUGGCUAGACUAGUGAAAGUGCCAUUUCUGGAUGGAUAUACAUAAGAAGUUAAUUGCCAGUCUUAUCAAAUAAUUUUGCUGUUGUCACGACCAAUUCUACUUUUAAAGUGAGUAGUAGUCAUGUGAUGUAAUACGUACAAGAGACGAGUUAACGACCAAUAUCUGGCUUUGUGGUCUUACACAACUGUUGUUGCUCCAUCUCCCAACUUAGCUUAGAUGCCGCCUCGUCAUGCUCUGGAACAUACUCCUAAAUACAAUCAAUAAAUCCACAGUAAAACUAGUCUUGUCUUGUCUUGUUGUGGAAGGGAGCGUAAUCUAUAAUGGAAGGAAGGAAGGAAGGAAGGAAGGGCUGACCAGUGACCAUAGAUAUAUAUUGUACUCUGUGUCGCUGGUAAUGGAGCAAAUAAUACAUAAAUAUUACGAGUAGAAAGUACGUACGUACCUCAAGCUUGGAGAUGAGUUCGAGGGCAGUUGGGGAAGAAACAAUAAUGUGACGGGCAGAGGGAGUGAUGAAACCUUCGUCAACAGCUUUGUCUAUGAAACACAACAGUGAAUUGUAAUAUCCAUCCACGUUCAAUAAACCCACCUGUAUUAAUUCACCAUAUAUACAUAUUGUAACGCCUGAUUUUGUACACCUGACGACCUCACGAAAUCAAAAGAAGAGCUCUGUAAUUGUUGAUCAUCGGCGCGAAAGGGUUGCAGAUAGUGAAUCUGAUGAGAGUUGAGCCAUUAUUUGUUGAUUGAUCAAUCAAUCCCAGGGCUUUGUUUUCAGUUUUACGGAAAUUCAGGUGGAUCUGAUCUAGUAUUUUGGUUAAAUUUUUUCUUUCUUGUCACCAUCUCGUUUACAGUCACUGGAUUGGAAUUGUCAGUUAAGAUCUUCCGGAGUUCCUUGGCCCAUCAGAAUUCUGAACUUAAAGAUUUGGAACUUUUGCAAUCGAUACAUCCGAAGCUCUGGAGACCCAUUAUUUUACACAGGUGCAUGAUUGUAAAGCUCUUACAACCUUUUGAUGGCCGCUUGAAUAGUCAAGCCACUUUUCUAAUCCACUGGAGGAUUACCGAACGGAUUACACAGGGGUCGGGAUGGAUUGGGGUUCGAGGUCGAAUAUGGUGUUGAGACAUGAGUCUCCGGCAGCCUGUAACUAGGAUUUGUAGACGAACAUAGCUUGUCGCCAUCGUUGUUCCAAGGUAAGCCUGGAGAAGAUGUUGAUCAGGCACUCGUGAGUCAACUCAGCCCAAUAAGAUCGGAGUCCGGACUCGAACCCUGUUCCUUGUCCUACCCCUCCUCCUUUAUCAUCUAUAUCCAUUUGGUGUUUGUUGUCCUUCCUUUAUUGAAAAAGAAUUACAAGAGCAUGAACAUGAGUUUAUACACAUGUACACGUGCAAAAAAAAACAAAUAUUAAUAUGAAUGAAAUAUUAAUAUCAAUGAUUAUCCCAACCACAUGAUACCCGAAGAUGUACAUGCACAUGAUGGCAGAAGGUGUACAGUACCUCUUUUUUAUUUAUUAAGUAACAUAGCUUUUAUGUGACACCCAAUCAAUAACAUAUCUUAUUUAUUUAUUUAUCUUUUACCAACGAAGACUACUAAUUAUGUGAUGCAGCCAUAUAUAAAGCAGUUAUAUGCGGCUGCCACAAAGUCCAACUGGAUGACUAUCAAGAAUUCUAGGGAGUAUUUGAAUGUAUGCUCAUGCUUGCCAAAAAUAAUAAAGAAAGAGACAAAAGACUUAGCUUUAGUUGAAUUAGUAGCGGUUCUGCAUGCGAUUCGGAUCAAAAUACUUCAAAUAAUUGCAUCGUCUCCAUUAUACAUCGGUAAUUGGUGAUUAAAAAAAAAAUUACAGUAUAAAAACGUUCCCACAGACGGCACCAAUGUUAACGCCUGAUUUUGUACACCUGACGAAAUCACCAAAACAGCAGGCCAAAAUAGCGCCAACGGUUUGAUGGAGUAAUUGUUGUGAAAUCAAACUCACGAAAUACACUCACAUAAAUAUAAAUAAAGAAAUAUAAAUCAUGAACACAAGAAUUUACGUGAAAACCCAAUUGAAAAAAAACCACGGGGAGAGAGAGUAAUCCACUAUAAUAAUAUUAGGAGUACAAGAUGUGUAUAUGGAGAGUACAAGUUGUUGUGUUCUAUGAUCUUCUUCCUUCAAACCCUAGCUUGUAGCCAUAUAUAUAGAAGCCACCUCCACCCGUAUCCUACUAGGAGAAGGACUCCUUAUCCCUCCAAAUAAGGAAACACAAUCCUAUUUUAAUAAGGACUCUUCCAUUGUCAUAAUAAAUACAUAUGGGCCAUCAUCAGAUCCGGACCAUUAAAUAGGCUGGGUCGCACCAUGGCUAGACCCAAAUAAUCACAUCCCAACAUUGCCCUCAGUCUCUUAUUUAUAAGGAACUUAUAAAUGAGAGACUAUAUAAGUUUAUCCCAACAAAAACGACUAUAUUUGUCAAAGACAAAAUAUCACAGCUGAACUCCAUAUGCCGAACUAAAAUUGUUAAAGAACCAACCUUAUCCCAACCGAACCAACCUUAUCACAACCGAAUAUAUAAAGAAUCAAUCUUAUACCAACCGAACCAACCUUAUCACAACCGAAUAUAGAGAACCAACCUUAUCCUAACCGAACUAACCUUAUACCAACAGAACCAACCUUAUCCCAACCGAACCAACCUUAUCACACCCGAAGAUAUAAAGAACCAACCAUAUCACAACCGAAUAUAGAGAACCAACCUUAUACCAACCGAACCAACCUUAUCACAACCGAACACCAAUUAUAAAGUUCGUUUCGGAGAACUAAAUGUAUUCGUUCUAAAGAACUGUACAAAUGUUUAUUCUGACCGUUCGGGAGGACGUUGGUCCGUCCCAAAGGAUAUUGUUCGAUUGAGAGGACGAUGAUCCGUCCCGAAUGAAGUAAUCCGUUCGGGAGGAUGAUGGUCCGUCCCGAAGGAUGUUUGAUCGUUCGGGAGGACGUUUGUCCGACCUUAUGCCCCCAGUCUCUUAUUUAUAAGAACCUUAUUGAUAAGAGACUAUUCAUAAAGUAUCCAUAGGAUUUUUAUCCUCGGGACUUUUAUCCUCGGGAUUUACAUCCUCGGGACUUUUAUCCUCGGGAUUUUUAUCCGCUGAAUUUUUAUCCGCUGGAUUUUUAUCCUCGGAAUUUUAUCCUCGGGACUUAUAUCCUAGGGAUUUAUAUCCUCGGGAUUUUUAUCCUCGGGAUUUAUAUCCUCGGGAUUUUUAUCCUCGGGACUUAUAUCCUCAGGAUUUACAUCCUCGGGAUUUUAUCCUCGGGACUUAUAUCCGCUGGAUUUUUCAUCCUUUCGGGAGAUCAAAGCCUUCCCGAAGGACGUUUGUCCGACCUUAUAACCCCUGCAACCUUAUGCCGCCAUAAUAUCUGUCCCGACCCCUAUGGGAGGCUUGACUGUUUGGGAGGACGUUGGUCCGUCCCGAAGGAUAUAAACCGUUCGGGAGGACGUUUGUCCGUCCCGAAGGAUGUUGACCUUCCUUAUAACCCCCCGACCUUAUGCCGCCAUAAUAUCUGUCCCGACCCCUAUGGGAGGCUUGACUGUUUGGGAGGACGUUGGUCCGUCCCGAAGGAUAUAAACCGUUCGGGAGGACGUUUGUCCGUCCCGAAGGAUGUUGACCUUCCUUAUAACCCCCCGACCUUAUGCCGCCAUAAUAUCCGUCCCGACGAUCAGUGUUGAUUCCAGGUGCUAGUUUCAUAUUACUGAAGCCGAUGGGCUUGGAUUGCCUUGGUUGGCUUCGAGAAGCAUAUAGAAGAGGUUGUUGCUGGUUAAGAAUUUUCUGAGCAGCUUCUUCGGCGAGACCAUUCCAAGGAACAUGAUCCGAAUCAAUGGCACCUUGUUUCUGAGCCUGAACAAGCUGAUGAUGCGUAUGAUUAUGCUGAUGAUGAUAUUGAACCGGCACGUGAUGAGCAUACGCACGAUUGUUUUGAACCGAAACCCUUACAUGACCCUGAAUUGUCGGCGCAUGGAAGUAAUCACUGCCCGGGGUAAGUGGUUGUGGCGGUUUGUGGUAUAAGAGUUGGGUCUGCUGAGUCGGAUCGGUUGAACUGCUACUACGAGGAACGAACUCAGGCGCUUUGGCGUUGAGUCGACUCGAUGAUAGAUUACGUGAAAGUUGUGAAGACGGAUCAAAAGAAGAGCUCUGUAAAUGUUGAUCAUCGGCGCGAGAAGAGUCUAGGGUUGCAGAUAGUGAAUCUGAUGAGAGUUGAGCCAUUAUUUGUUGAUUAAUCAAUCAAUCCCAGGGCUUUGUUUUCAGUUUUACUGAAAUUCAGGUGGAUCUGAUCUAGUAUUUUGGGUAAAUUUUUUUUUUCUUGUCACCAUCUCGUUUACAGUCACUGGAUUGGAAUUGUCAGUUAAGAUCUUCCGGAGUUCCUUGGCCCAUCAGAAUUCUGAACUUAAAGAUUUGGAACUUUUGCAAUCGAUACAUCCGAAGCUCUGGAGACCCAUUAUUUUACACAGGUGCAUGAUUGUAAAGCUCUUACAACCUUUUGAUGGCCGCUUGAAUAGUCAAGCCACUUUUCUAAUCCACUGGAGGAUUACCGAACGGAUUACACAGGGGUCGGGACGGAUUGGGGUUCGAGGUCGAAUAUGGUGUUGAGACAUGAGUCUCCGGCAGCCUGUAGCUAGGAUUUGCAGACGAACAUAGCUUGUCGUCAUCGUUGUUCCAAGGUAAGCCUGGAGAAGAUGUUGAUCAGGCACUCGUGAGUCAACUCAGCCCAAUAAGAUCGGAGUCCGGACUCGAACCCUGUUCCUUGUCCUACCCCUCCUCCUUUAUCAUCUAUAUCCAUUUGGUGUUUGUUGUCCUUCCUUUAUUGAAAAAGAAUUACAAGAGCAUGAACAUGAGUUUAUACACAUGUACACGUGCAAAAAAAAACAAAUAUUAAUAUGAAUGAAAUAUUAAUAUCAAUGAUUAUCCCAACCACAUGAUACCCGAAGAUGUACAUGCACAUGAUGGCAGAAGGUGUACAGUACCUCUUUUUUAUUUAUUAAGUAACAUAGCUUUUAUGUGACACCCAAUC
RNAcentral lists this long non-coding RNA (5638 nucleotides) under Panax ginseng (ginseng). Its description in RNAcentral is "long non-coding RNA (PGIN_LNC002029)". The record is from RNAcentral. Lineage: Eukaryota; Viridiplantae; Streptophyta; Magnoliopsida; Apiales; Araliaceae.